UUCCGGUUGAUCCUGCCGGACCCGACUGCUAUCAGAGUGGGACUAAGCCAUGCGAGUCAACGCCGCAAGGCGUGGCAUACGGCUCAGUAACACGUAGUCAACAUGCCCAGGGGACGUGGAUAACCUCGGGAAACUGAGGAUAAACCGCGAUAGGCCAAGGUUUCUGGAAUGGACCAUGGCUGAAACCUAUACGGCCCCUGGAUCGGACUGCGGCCGAUCAGGCUGUUGGUGAGGUAAUGGCCCACCAAACCUGUAACCGGUACGGGCUUUGAGAGAAGGAGCCCGGAGAUGGGCACUGAGACAAGGGCCCAGGCCCUAUGGGGCGCAGCAGGCGCGAAACCUCUGCAAUAGGCGAAAGCUUGACAGGGUUACUCUGAGUGAUGCCCGCUAAGGGCAUCUUUUGGCACCUCUAAAAAUGGUGCAGAAUAAGGGGUGGGCAAGUCUGGUGUCAGCCGCCGCGGUAAUACCAGCACCCCGAGUGGUCGGGACGAUUAUUGGGCCUAAAGCAUCCGUAGCUUGUUCUGCAAGUCCUCCGUUAAAUCCACCUGCUCAACAGAUGGGCUGCGGAGGAUACUACAGGGCUAGGAGGCGGGAGAGGCAAGCGGUACUCAGUGGGUAGGGGUAAAAUCCUCUGAUCCACUGAAGACCACCAGUGGCGAAGGCGGCUUGCCAGAACGCGCUCGACGGUGAGGGAUGAAAGCUGGGGGAGCAAACCGGAUUAGAUACCCGGGUAGUCCCAGCUGUAAACGAUGCAGACUCGGUGAUGGGUUGGCUUCGAGCCAACCCAGUGCCGCAGGGAAGCCGUUAAGUCUGCCGCCUGGGGAGUACGGUCGCAAGACUGAAACUUAAAGGAAUUGGCGGGGGAGCACCACAAGGGGUGAAGCCUGCGGUUCAAUUGGAGUCAACGCCGGA
This 912-nucleotide ribosomal RNA is filed under the name uncultured crenarchaeote. Its description in RNAcentral is "bacterial SSU rRNA". It matches the Rfam family "Archaeal small subunit ribosomal RNA", at positions 1 to 922 of the family's 1478-position model. The record is from RNAcentral. Lineage: Archaea; Thermoproteati; Thermoproteota.